GUUUACGAUCGGUAGUCUUGUCAGUGAUGGGUAUUGGGUAUUCAAGCUAUUGAAUUGAUCAUCCGUUUGGACGAUGGAAUCUUGGCCGAAAACUAAUUAAUUUGCUCCAGUUUUCAACAGGAUAGGUUAAUAGAGAAGACAGAAAUGAACGUAUAUUUGGUGUCAGACUAGUGUGGCCUUAGUGAAACCAGCGAAACAUAUUAUAGUCGGAGGUUUUGUGUUUCCUGGAUUACCACGGAGUAUCAACCCACGGACGGAAAUUGACUAGCACUGUUGGUUCAGGAGGUUUGCAGUUCCUGGACUGGAAUAAAUGAAGUAUCGGCGGACGGACAGACGGAGAUUUGGAACUUGUGGUGGUUCUGGCCUUUAACUUUGUCUGCUGUCUUGGAUUCCCCUGAAGUUUCUCAAAAAUGUAUUUGAGAUUAAUAACGAAGUAUGCUCUUAAAACAAUUGUAAAUUAUCUUUAUCCUCAAUGUUUUGUACGUUUGAAAGUUAAGACUUGAUAAAUAAAUAUAUAAGCAAACUAAGUCUGUGACUGUUCUCUUUGGAAAUGCCAAGAAAGGGC
Macrobrachium nipponense is the source of this 565-nucleotide long non-coding RNA. RefSeq lists it as uncharacterized. The record is from RefSeq and is a predicted model, not a curated record. The transcript has 2 exons. NCBI's taxonomy places the organism in Eukaryota, Metazoa, Arthropoda, Malacostraca, Decapoda, Palaemonidae.